UAGGGAAUCUUCGGCAAUGGGGGCAACCCUGACCGAGUAACGCCGCGUGAGUGAAGAAGGUUUUCGGAUCGUAAAGCUCUGUUGUAAGAGAAGAACGUGUGUGAGAGUGGAAAGUUCACACAGUGACGGUAACUUACCAGAAAGGGACGGCUAACUACGUGCCAG
RNAcentral lists this ribosomal RNA (165 nucleotides) under uncultured bacterium. RNAcentral describes it as "partial 16S rRNA". It matches the Rfam family "Bacterial small subunit ribosomal RNA", at positions 355 to 511 of the family's 1533-position model. The record is from RNAcentral.